GGGGAUGUAGCUCAACGGGAGAGCACCGCCCUUGCACGGCGGGGGUUGUCGGUUCGAGUCCGAUCAUCUCCACCA
This 75-nucleotide transfer RNA is filed under the name Synergistetes bacterium ADurb.Bin155. RNAcentral describes it as "tRNA-Ala". It matches the Rfam family "tRNA". Rfam says of the family: Transfer RNA (tRNA) molecules are approximately 80 nucleotides in length. Lineage: Bacteria; Thermotogati; Synergistota. The record is from RNAcentral.